UUUGCAAAGUGUUGAAGGAACGACGCUCGAAUUCGGGUCGUUCGGGCGGACUUGCUUCACGGUCGAACGAAAAUAUCGGCGGUCCGCCAGUUACGCCACUGGGACCCUUCGAAAAGGUUGCCCGGUAACCCGAAGGUUGCAUUUAUACGAAUUGUGGCGGAAGGAACCAUUGUAUAAUCCAAGAUGGCCUCCACCUCGGAGAGGAUUAUUAUUGGCUAAUACGAGGCAAGAGGCUCCGCCUUGGCUCACGGCUCGUGACGGGAUGAUUUAUUGGGAUUUCUGUCUGUUCGCCCCUGCGCUGCAACGAACAUACCGUGUGCCUAGCUUCUAGGCGGCCCGGUACGUCUGGAACACCGCGAUAUUGGAUUUCGACGUUUCGCCCGACUGCAGCUGCAACAGCAGCCCGCGGAUUUUUUCUACACGUCGUCCGACAUGUCUCCAUUCCCUUUCUGUCCACGUGGACAUUCCAUGUGUCUUUGCCUGACCUAAUUUCCCCCUUCCUAUUUCAGCGCUACCAUUCCUUCAUGGUUUUUUCGUUCAACGCACUGAUAGAAUUUUCGGAGCAAGAUCGCUUUGGUCCGCUUCUGGAAUUGGAACUGACGUUUAAUUUAAUGGUUAAUGGAGAAGAAAUAAUUGACUUCCACUACUCUUAUUUCGAAGUCGAAGUCUCUCGAUGCAGUCGUUCUUGAAUAUAAAUCGCUCUUAAUGGAAUCACAAGUAUAACCGAGAAGUGGGUGAAGAUGAAGCAUGGACUGGGAUGCCUGUCAGCUCAAUUGACGGAUCGUCCUCCUUUGACAUUAUUUAUGGUCAAGGAUGUUCUGUCAGCAGAACUGUUCAUAUCAAUUCGCUGUUAGAUCAUUAGACUAUUCAGAUCAGUUUGCAAAAUGACCACGUCCACUUGGUAUGAAAAAUAUAUUUUAAAAAAGGUAAGUAUUUAUUCAUCUGAUUCUAUCUUUCAAAAGAAAAAAAAAAAAAAAAAACAGAAAACAAUAAAAAGGAUUAAUACAUAAAAGUACACUUACUACAUAAAACCAGAAACAAUAAAUGCCAAAGUAAAUUCAGUUCAAUAACUCCCACUUUCACCUGCUGAGAACUCAUCUUGAACGCCUCGAGAUUAUCGGGGACACGAAGCGGAAUCGUCAUCGAGUGCAUCCAGGUUGCAAUGUAGAAUGAGGAAGAUGGAGAUGAAGAAGAAGAGGAAAGAAGACGGAAAGGAAAGGGACAGACAGACAGACGAACAAGGAAGGGAAGAAGCGUGAAGGCAGUCGAGUAGAGAGCUGGCAAGAUAGAGGGGCUUGGCGGGAGGAUGGCGGUCAGAAUUUAUGGCCGCUUUAUCACUUUACCGGCCUUGCCGCGUCUCCUUUAGCCGUGAGGAGGGCAGGAUCUCACGAUGAACUUUGGCACUCGACUCCGCCGCACUCGACGAACGGUGAUGCAGUCCAGAAUGAAGAUGCGUGUUAUAUUUUUGAAACUAUGGAACUAAUGAAAGUGAUAUAAUGGAAGCUCAUGGAGGGUGUGGUUCCUGCAGAAGGAUAUAGUAGCUCCAGUGGCUUUUAUCAAAUACCGAUGACCAUAUUGAGGACAUCUACAUAGGACUUGAUAAGUGAAAUUAUUCGGGAGUAAUUUACAACCAUUAUUGUAUUCCCUAUACGAUUAUACUUAUGCAACUGCACGUUCACUAUGCACAGUAGGAGGCCCACCUUAGGAUGCUCACAUGCUACACUAUCUAGACUGUCAUGUGCCACGUCGUGAAACAAGGGCUACAGCCGAGAAGCAACAACGGCCCGUACCAAGCGGGAGGUUCGCCAAAAUGACGGAAGGCCGCGAAGCUUGUAGCGAAGUUGACCAUUUCAAAACUGGCGCCGUUUUCGAGGUGGCUGGCAGCCAUUAGGUUGCCCCGUGACAUUCGAGGGAGAGGAUGAUGGUUCCAUCGAGUAGGUAGUGCCUAGACGGGGCUCCACCCAGCACUUAGUUCACGUCGUGACUGUGGCCCGGGGCACAGCCGUUUCCAGGGUACAGUCACGCCCCUGCUGUGCCGGCACUGUACUCCGAUUCGCUGGCCCAUAUCUCAUCUGGUCCAUCGCAUUAGCCUAAUCUGCCAACUACGAGAGAAUAGAGGGACGAACGAGAGAGAGAGAGAGAGCGUGUGUGAGAGAGAGUGAAUGAGAAAGCUGGAGAAAGAGAGAACAAGAGAGAGAGAGAGAGAGAGAGAGGAAGAGAGAAACAGAAAGAGAGUAGAAAAAAAGGAAUGAUAAAACAACAAAAACGCGGCCAUCGAUGCAUGCCCCCGCCGCCACGGGAGAUCGCGUGGUGAGGUGCUGCCACCUUCUCGACCGAACCGUGAAUACGACCGAUCGAUUUUUUUACAACGCUUUAACGAAACGUUUUCCGUGCCUUCGGUUUGAUCCCUUAUCUCGCGAGCAUGUCCCCCGACUCGCGACUCCCCUCGAUAGAACCCUCUCUUUUUUUUCGGCGAUUCGAAGACACGAGAUCGGACGAUUUUUCGCCGAUCGAAACGGCACCUUGGAAUCGCGGUAUCUGGGAGCAGCGCCCAUGGUGCUUUGGACACGUUGGAUCUGCUAAGGUAAGAUUGUUUCAUCCUAAUAAUUGCCAGCUUUCGGAUAAUGCAAAUUUUUAUUAUAUCUUGAGUAGCAUAAUAUUUUGGGACGUAGUAAUGCGAUUUUUAAAAAAUUUGAGACGAAUCGUUAAGACGAGCAUAAUUCAAUUUGGGCAUAAAUCUGAGUAAAAUCUUUGGUGAUGAUUAAUAACAUAGAUCGUAUAAAUCGAAUCAUCGUUUCUUUUAUUCAACAAAUCAAUUAUAAGCAUCAGAAAUACUUCUGAUGCUUUUGCGAUUAUUCUAAACAAUGUAGAUAUUUUCUCUUUUAUUUAGUCAUUGAAUCAGUAAUUCCGAAAUUUUUAUCAAUAUGGUUCAUUAUCUCUACUCCAAAUAAUAGAUGUUAAAAAUCUCACAACUUUCAUAUAAAUUAGAUACGAUAAAUCUAAUCAAAUCCAGAAAUUUUAUCGUGGCUCAAAAUUCCUUAGUUUUUCUAUAAUUCACAGCUUUUUAAUAAUCACAACUCUUCAUGCACAUAAAAAUAUUACCCAAAUUGUUCAUCGCUCGAUCUUAAGACAAUUUUCUUUUCUAAAACGUAUUAUGUAUUUCAUUGUCCCCUCAAUAUAUUCCAAAAUAUUCUUUGAUCGUGUUCGAGAAAUUGUUCGAGCAAAAGAUUUUGUGAAUUAGCUUAGAAACACGGCCAUGGUGCGAUCAAGCAGUCAGUUUGCAUCUCACGACGGACGAGGAAGCAGCUUGUCGUCACGCGAUUGGUCUUUUCGCCUUGUUCGAGUCAUUGUCGGCGAAAUCGGUGAGUACUUUCUGCGUGCCACGCAAUUUUCAUGCCUUUGUUCUCUUUGUGUCAAUCGACACGGUCCGUUUCCGACCUGGAAGCCGAUUUGUGAACGUAGCGACGGAAAAGUGAGUUCCAUGGACUUAACUGAAUUUUAUUGGAUUGUUAUUGGAUCGCGAUUAUUUUUGGAAAUAUAAUUAAAAGAUGUAGAAUCACGUUUGAAUAUUAUUUUACGAAUUAAAAUUAUAGAACUUUGGAUAUUUCCAAAAUUUGGGUUUGGAUCCAUGGAAAGUACUUGGAGAUAUAUAUUUGAUUUUCAUAUAACUUUAAAAUCUCCUAUAAAUAGCCAAAAAUCGGUAGUCUAAUUAUUGCGUAAUAAAAAGUAAGAAAAGAAACAGAAUACAAAAG
This is a long non-coding RNA of Frieseomelitta varia, 3752 nucleotides long. RefSeq lists it as uncharacterized. Lineage: Eukaryota; Metazoa; Arthropoda; Insecta; Hymenoptera; Apidae. The record is from RefSeq and is a predicted model, not a curated record. The transcript is spliced from 4 exons.